AAUAGCGUAUAUUUAAGUUGCUGCAGUUAAAAAGCUCGUAGUUGGAUUUCGGGUGGGAAUGGCCGGUCCGCCGUUUCGGUGUGCACUUGCUACGCCCACCUUGCUGCCGGGGACGUGCUCUUGAGUUCACGCUCGGGACACGGAGUCGGCGAGGUUACUUUGAGUAAAUUAGAGUGUUCAAAGCAGGCCUACGCUCUGAAUACAUUAGCAUGGAAUAACACGAUAGGACUCUGGCCUAUCUUGUUGGUCUGUAGGACCGGAGUAAUGAUUAAGAGGGACAGUCGGGGGCAUUCGUAUUUCAUUGUCAGAGGUGAAAUUCUUGGAUUUAUGAAAGACGAACUACUGCGAAAGCAUUUGCCAAGGAUGUUUUCAUUGA
Molecule: ribosomal RNA, 376 nt
Filed under: uncultured eukaryote
Lineage: Eukaryota
Description: partial 18S ribosomal RNA
Rfam family: Eukaryotic small subunit ribosomal RNA
Source: RNAcentral